GGUGUAUGGCUCAGUAGGUAGGGUGCUUGCCUUGCCUUGCACAAGGCCCUGGGUUCAAUCCCCAGCACCA
RNAcentral lists this transfer RNA (70 nucleotides) under Marmota monax (woodchuck). RNAcentral describes it as "tRNA.Ala". Lineage: Eukaryota; Metazoa; Chordata; Mammalia; Rodentia; Sciuridae. The record is from RNAcentral.